RNAcentral lists this ribosomal RNA (661 nucleotides) under uncultured bacterium. RNAcentral describes it as "bacterial SSU rRNA". It matches the Rfam family "Bacterial small subunit ribosomal RNA", at positions 94 to 788 of the family's 1533-position model. The record is from RNAcentral.
AGUGGCGGACGGGUGAGUAACGCGUGAGAAUCUGCCUUCAGGUCGGGGACAACAGAGGGAAACUUCUGCUAAUCCCGGAUGAGCCUUAGGGUAAAAAAUUUAUUGCCUGGAGAUGAGCUCGCGUCUGAUUAGCUAGUUGGUAAGGUAAAAGCUUACCAAGGCAACGAUCAGUAGCUGGUCUGAGAGGAUGAGCAGCCACACUGGGACUGAGACACGGCCCAGACUCCUACGGGAGGCAGCAGUGGGGAAUUUUCCGCAAUGGGCGAAAGCCUGACGGAGCAAGACCGCGUGGGGGAGGAAGGCUCUAGGGUUGUAAACCCCUUUUCUUUGGCAAGAACAAAAUGACGGUACCAAAGGAAUCAGCCUCGGCUAACUCCGUGCCAGCAGCCGCGGUAAUACGGAGGAGGCAAGCGUUAUCCGGAAUGAUUGGGCGUAAAGCGUCCGCAGGUGGCAAUGUAAGUCUGCUGUCAAAACCCAGGGCUCAACUCUGGUCAGGCAGUGGAAACUACAUAGCUAGAGUUCGGUAGGGGCAAAGGGAAUUCCCGGUGUAGCGGUGAAAUGCGUAGAGAUCGGGAAGAACAUCGGUGGCGAAAGCGCUUUGCUAGACCGAAACUGACACUCAGGGACGAAAGCUAGGGGAGCGAAUGGGAUUAGAUACCCC